ACAGAGGUGGCAAGCGUUGUUCGGAAUUACUGGGCGUAAAGGGCGCGUAGGCGGCCAUCUAAGUCAGACGUGAAAUCCCCCGGCUUAACCUGGGAACUGCGUCUGAUACUGGAGGGCUCGAAUUUGGGAGAGGGAUGUGGAAUUCCAGGUGUAGCGGUGAAAUGCGUAGAUAUCUGGAGGAACACCGGUGGCGAAGGCGGCAUCCUGGACCAACAUUGACGCUGAGGCGCGAAAGCUAGGGGAGCAAACGGGA
Molecule: ribosomal RNA, 253 nt
Filed under: uncultured prokaryote
Description: partial 16S ribosomal RNA
Rfam family: Bacterial small subunit ribosomal RNA
Source: RNAcentral